This 914-nucleotide ribosomal RNA is filed under the name uncultured archaeon. Its description in RNAcentral is "bacterial SSU rRNA". It matches the Rfam family "Archaeal small subunit ribosomal RNA", at positions 508 to 1429 of the family's 1478-position model. The record is from RNAcentral.
GCUUAAAGGGGCCGUAGCUUGCUAUGCAAGUCCCCUGUUAAAUCCACCGAUUUAAUCGUUGGAUUGCGGGUGAUACUGUUUGGCUAGGGGACGGGAGAGGCCGACGGUAUUUCCGGGGUAGGGGUGAAAUCCUAUAAUCCCGGGAAGACCACCAGUGGCGAAGGCUGUCGGCUAGAACGCGCCCGACGGUGAGGGAUGAAAGCUGGGGGAGCGAACCGGAUUAGAUACCCGGGUAGUCCCAGCUGUAAACGAUGCAGGCUAGGUGUUUGGGCGGCCACGAGCCGCUCUAGUGCCGCAGGGAAGCUGUUAAGCCUGCCGCCUGGGGAGUACGGCCGCAAGGCUGAAACUUAAAGGAAUUGGCGGGGGAGCACCACAAGGGGUGAAGCUUGCGGUUUAAUUGGAGUCAACGCCGGAAAUCUCACCGGGAGCGACAGCAGUAUGAAGGCCAGAUUAAAGGUCUUGCUAGACGAGCUGAGAGGAGGUGCAUGGCCGUCGCCAGUUCGUGCCGUGAGGUGUCCUGUUAAGUCAGGCAACGAUCGAGACCCGCGUCCUCUGUUGCUACUGGCUUUGCGCCAGGCACACUGAGGAGACCGCCGCUGAUAAAGCGGAGGAAGGAGCGGGCCACAGCAGGUCAGUAUGCCCCGAAUCUCCCGGGCCACACGCGAGCUGCAAUGGCAGGUACAAUGGGUUCCGACCUCGCAAGGGGAAGGCAAUCCCGAAAGCCUGCCGUAGUUGGGAUCGAGGGUUGAAACUCAUCCUCGUGAACAUGGAAUCCCUAGUAAUCGCGUGUCACUAGCGCGCGGUGAAUACGUCCCUGCUCCUUGCACACACCGCCCGUCGUUCCACCCGAGUGACUCUUGGGUGAGGCGUGGUCUUUCUUGGCUGCGUCGAAUCUGAGUUUCGCAAGGGGGGAA